Molecule: unclassified non-coding RNA, 723 nt
Filed under: uncultured Pezizales
Lineage: Eukaryota; Fungi; Ascomycota; Pezizomycetes; Pezizales
Description: sequence contains ITS1, 5.8S rRNA gene, ITS2
Rfam family: 5.8S ribosomal RNA (bases 155-308)
Source: RNAcentral
GGAAGGAUCAUUAAAAUGUAAAUUGACCCUUUACACCCUUCUGUGUAUUUUACCUGUUUUUGGAUGAUGGAAUUAGUAAAAUAUUCCAUAGAACAAAUAUUUUAAACUAUUAUUCAUAAUGAUAUUAGUCUGAUUUUGUAUAAAUAAAAGUUAAAACUUUCAACAACGGAUCUCUUGGUUCUCGCAUCGAUGAAGAACGCAGCGAAAUGCGAUAAGUAGUGUGAAUUGCAGAAUUCAGUGAAUCAUCGAAUCUUUGAACGCAUAUUGCGCCUUCUAGUAUUCUGGGAGGCAUGCCUGUUUGAGCGUCAUUAAAUCUUACUCUAGCAGUUUUGCUUGGAUAUGAAGGAAGAGUAUAUAAAGGCUCUCCUUUGAAAUGUAUUAGUAGAUGUAAAGUUGUGAAUUACACUGUUUUGAUGUAAUAGUCUUUAUUGGUUGUGAUUUGUAUACAACUAUAUCUUGCUUUAACAUAUUUUUUUUUUUAUGGUUGACCUCAAAUCAGGUAGGGAUACCCGCUGAACUUAAGCAUAUCAUAAGCGAGGGAGGUACGCUGGAGCUCACAGAUGUCUCUCCUCGGUGAGGACAGCUUUUGAACGUUUGAUCUCAAAUCAGGUAGGACUACCCGCUGAACUUAAGCAUAUCAAUAAGCGGAGGAAAAGAAACUAACAAGGAUUCCCCUAGUAACUGCGAGUGAAGCGGGAAGAGCUCAAAUUUAAAAUCUGGCGU